RNAcentral lists this ribosomal RNA (253 nucleotides) under uncultured bacterium. RNAcentral describes it as "partial 16S ribosomal RNA". It matches the Rfam family "Bacterial small subunit ribosomal RNA", at positions 524 to 776 of the family's 1533-position model. The record is from RNAcentral.
GACGAACCUGACGAACGUUAUUCGGAAUCACUGGGCUUAAAGGGUGCGUAGGCUGUGCAGAAAGUUGGGUGUGAAAUCCCUCGGCUUAACCGAGGAACUGCGCCCAAAACUACUGUGCUCGAGUGAGAUAGAGGUGAGCGGAACUUAGGGUGGAGCGGUGAAAUGCGUUGAUAUCCUAAGGAACACCAGUGGCGAAGGCGGCUUCCUGGACCGAUUCUGACGCUCAGGAGCGAAAGCGUGGGUAGCGAUCCGG